UACGUAGGGUGCAAGCGUUAAUCGGAAUUACUGGGCGUAAAGCGUGCGCAGGCGGUGAUGUAAGACAGAUGUGAAAUCCCCGGGCUCAACCUGGGAACUGCAUUUGUGACUGCAUCGCUGGAGUGCGGCAGAGGGGGAUGGAAUUCCGCGUGUAGCAGUGAAAUGCGUAGAUAUGCGGAGGAACACCGAUGGCGAAGGCAAUCCCCUGGGCCUGUUCUGACGCUGAGGAGCGAAAGCGUGGGGAGCAAACCGG
Molecule: ribosomal RNA, 253 nt
Filed under: uncultured bacterium
Lineage: Bacteria
Description: partial 16S ribosomal RNA
Rfam family: Bacterial small subunit ribosomal RNA
Source: RNAcentral